This 387-nucleotide long non-coding RNA is filed under the name Linum usitatissimum (flax). RNAcentral's name for it is "long non-coding RNA (LUSI_LNC002291)". Lineage: Eukaryota; Viridiplantae; Streptophyta; Magnoliopsida; Malpighiales; Linaceae. The record is from RNAcentral.
UUAGCUUUGAACUUCUAUUCGAUAUGUAAUGGAGUAAUUAGAUGAACUGUUAUCAUUGCAACUCAAUAAAAGUCGGCUAGAGGAUGAAGAAUUUAACGAUUAUGUACUCGAUCAUGAACAGCGGUGUGAUUAUGUCUUAAUGAUACUUUCUGGCUAUAUUAUGGUGUUUGAUGAGAGGAUUCAGAUUCACCAUCCCCUGUUUCUGAUUAUGUUUGUCACGUUUUCGAUCAAGAUGCAUUUGUUGACGAAUUGACGAAUUAUUGAAUGUAGGGAAGACAUCCUCAAAAGAAAGGCGGUAACGUCGAUCAUUGAACUUAGGGUUUCACAAUUGGGAUUAGGGUUUCCAUCAAUCGUUUGCUCGAUCAUUUUCAGUCCAUAUGAACCGUC